CUCAUUUCUAAACAAAGCAGGACAUGAACACCUAAACAACCACAUCACUAACUAAAUGCUCUAUCAGUAGUACAUGCUUAAAGUAAUGGUUCGAAUGUUCUGAUAUUACAAGGUAAAUCAGUCUCUAAAGAUAAAUAAUUACAAAAAUGAAUCAGUCCAACUUUAAUUACAACAUGAUGAUUAUCUUGUCACUACAAUUACAUUCAUAAUUGAAUAAGGGGAAAACAGGGAAAGGGUUUAGAAUGAUAUAAUGAACUCAGAUCUUCACAUUUAUGAGUACUUUAUACUUGAGCUUCAAAUACAUCAAUGAACAUAGGAAGUUACCUGUAAUUAAGCAGAAAACAAACCCUAUGAUUAAAUAUAACGAAUCAGCUAAGCAAUCAGAAGCCAAUCAAACAGUGCAUCAGGACUUCAGCAGCGUUUUUAGAAAAUUAAGUCUUCAGAAAAAUGAUUCAAGCUGCACUAAUGGUAUUUAACAGAUAUAGGAAGAGCUAGUAUGUUAUUUUUAGCUCUAGGAUUGAAAGAAAAGGUUCCGGAUCUUUUAAAAUGUGCUCAGGUGGUUUCUUUUAUAAUGGAGCCUUAGGGCAUCAGCUUUUCUCUUGUUUUUCUUUAGUCCUUGCUUCAGAUUUGCACUUUUCCUAAAUGGUCCUUCAUUUCCUGACUUGUGCCUAAAGUUUGAGGCAGAAAUUGUGUUUUGCCCCAUUACUAGAAGGUUCUAGGGGAUUACUAUCAGAUUUUUAAAGUUCAAAUACCCCUGUUCCCCUGCUUCCUUCCUAAAUUACCCACCUGAAGUUUUUUAACUUCAAAUAUUCCUUGACCGUGGUUUAGUUACAAUUGACUCUGGUAAAUCAAGUUUGGGUCACAUUUCAAUCUUGAGCUAACAAGCUUACGAAAGUUCAAAAUCAGCCAAAACUACCAGGUUUUAAAACAAGUGCCUUAAUGUAGACUUUCAGCACACAAACAUUAUUCCGGAUUAUCAAAACAAAGGAUCAAAAUAACCAGAAGAAUGCAUAUAUCUAUCAACACUUAAACUUUUCAGAAAUAUCUCAAUCAAGGUACUCAGAAAUUCUUGACAGUGAGAAGCACAUAGCAGGGAAUGAGCCCUAAGUUCAUGAACAAAAAUGAGGAAGCAAGUAAAAGUUCAGAGAGAAAGAAUAGCUUAAUUAUGCAUAAGUACUGAAGAUCAAAGUUAUUAUGAAAUGAGAAUCAGGCACACAAUAGCAUAAACAAACUAAUCAAACUAGUCAGAACAUCAGGGAACAAAACAUAUGAGGAUCAUGAGAUGAAGGUCAACAACCAUUGAAAUCAUACUACUGAAAGAUUAGCAAGCUAAACUUUCCACAUCAGAAGGCUAAUGCAUAAAAUGAUAUCACAACUACUAAAGAGAUUUCAGAUUACUGAUAAGCAAAACAUAUGACCAUUUAGACCUACUUCAGGCAAGAUUACAAACAAACAAUUAUUUAAAAGAAGUCAAACAUUAAGAGCAAAUAGAAAUAAAGCAAAAAUAUAUACAGAAAAAGAUAAGCUUCUUAGGCAAAUAUAUAAA
Molecule: long non-coding RNA, 1546 nt
Filed under: Nicotiana benthamiana
Lineage: Eukaryota; Viridiplantae; Streptophyta; Magnoliopsida; Solanales; Solanaceae
Description: long non-coding RNA (NBEN_LNC031318)
Source: RNAcentral